GUGGUUGUGUGGGGUGGGUUAAAUGAAGGGAAAGGUAUGUCCUUUGGAAGAGAAGGCAAUACUGGUUUUGGGAGUGAUGGCAAUUCGGGUACUUUGGGAAGUUCUGGUUUAGGAAUAUUUGGUAAUUCGGGCAAUUUAGGGAGUUCUGGUUUUGGUAAGUUUGGUAGUUCAGGUAGUUUUGGGAGUUCAGGUUUUGGUAGAUGAUCGGGAACUUCAGCAAGUUUAGGGAGAUCAAACUUAGGCAUGGUUGGAAUUUCAGGAACUUUGGAGUGAUCAAAGUUAGGUACUUUUGGUAAUUCAGGCAACUUUGGAAGUUCAGGCUUUGGCAAUUCAGGGACUUUAGGCUUUUCUAGAGGUGGAAGAUGAGGCAGUGGAGGUAACUCAACUUUCGGUAGUGGAGGAAGCUCUGACUUUGGCAAAGUGGGUAUUUCAGGCUUUGGAAGCCCUUCAGGUCCAUGAGGUAUUGGCGUCUCCAAGAGAUGCCUUGCGCUCACUGACAUAAUAAGAAAAUCAAAGCUCAUGGUGACUAUAAGAAUACCAAGUACCAAAGAAGCUUUAAGGGUUGAUAAGGGACGAGUAGCCAUUAGGAUCUAAACAACAAUGGACCAAGGAAUUGAUAAUAACACAAAAACGAAGAUGAUUUGAUGAGAUUAGCUGUGUUGAUGAUCUCAAUAUGCAACAUGCAAAGGUAUUUAUAGGUAAAGAAAGAAGAGGUGGAGAAAAGCACAUAUAUGAAUUGUUUAAGAAGAGAUGAAUAAUGGUAGAGGAAGUGUUAGUUCAACUUUCACACCUACACAUUUGAGUACACAUUUCUUGCAAAAAUAAAAUUCUUAAAAAGUAGAAAUAUAUAUACAUUAUUUGAUUGUACCAAUAAUAAACCAUAUAUUAGUGAAAAUAAAUAAUAAUUAUAUCUAAUUUCUUCCAAAAUAAGAGAAAAACAAUAGUUCUUUAUUAUCCAUAUACAAAAUCAAGAUACUUGAAAGAUUAAAAGAAAAAAGAAAAAAAAAACCCAUAAAAAUGUCCAAAUAAAUUUAAUCAAAUAAUGAUCUUCAUAAAUUUUAUUUCUUCCUUCUUUGACAUUUUUGACACAAGAUUAUGAUCAAUGUCUUCAAUUGAGUCAAAUAUGGUUUGCUUACCAAACAAAUAGAGAAUGCUAAUAACUUAUUCUUUAGUAUAUAUGGAGUUUGUUGGCCAAAUUAUUAUCAGUAGAUCUUCCUUUUCUUUUAUUCUUUGUACCAUGCAACGUUUACCUUAAGAGUAUUGCAAAAUCCUUUCGCCCACUCCGCGUUAGCAAUGCAAAAAAAUAGCAAAUUUUUUUUUAUAAUAAUAGGACUUAUCUCGCUACAAAUAGCAAAUCUAAAAUGGGAUAAUUGCAAAUUUAUCUAUUAGAUUCAAAAUAAUUAGGUAUAUAACAACAUUUUAAAUAAAAAAUUUGCAAGUAUAGCAAAAUUUAUCAAUGAUAUGUUGCAAAUAUUGGUCUAUCUAUCCCUGAUAUUGAUACAAGUCUAUCAGCGAUGGUUUUGUUAUAUUUGCAAUUUUUUAAAAAUGUUAUUAUAUUUUUAAUUAUUAUUUCUAAAAUAACCAUCAAUUAUAAUUACUCUAAUUUAAAAGCCGAUAACCCUCUAAUAACUUUUCGAUAGACGUUUGAUAUCACCAAUUUUUCCAUAUUCACACUAUGUAAAAAGAAAUAGGUGUUAUAGGUUAUUUUUUUGUAAUGUUUUUUUUUUUUAUUUGAUGCAAUUUUCCAUAUUGAAAAGGGUAAAUUGCAUAGGUGAAACCAUCAAAUUAAAUAUUUAUGACCAUUUUCUGAUCACAACACAAUUUUAACCUUACUUAUUUUAUGUACUUAAAUUGUUUUAAAAUAAUUUUUCUUAGGGAUGUAGAUUUUGAUCACAACACUCUGUAGUUUCACAUGUCAAGAAGAAUAGCAUUUUUGUUGAUUUGUUACUUUUCUAAUUUUUCAACUUUUUUUUAAUUUUGAGCUUUAUUUAAACUCAAAAUCUUAAUUUACAGAGAAAUUGAAUUUAUAAACAUUUUUUUUAAAAAAAUUCACAUCGUUACACUUCAAAGAUGAAUUGAUGUAAGUUUUUUCUUUUAUCAUCUAAAGCUUUCAUGAUGUCCUCUGGUUAAAUUAGAUUUUAUGUAUAUGUCAUUAUAAUCUCCGAUCAUAAAAGAAUUUAUCUUUUUUGAAAUAAGUAUAACGUAAUUGUAAAAUGCUUCAUUUUUUCAUAUUAUUAAAUAUAAUUUAUCUUCUUCAAUCAUAUUUCUCGAACUAGAUUACCAAACUAUGAAUUUAUUCAAGUCAUAUAAUUCGAUUGGAUUUGUAUGUCCUGGUAGUUUCUCUUCAGUAUGCUAUUGUCAUUUUAAGUAGUGAAUAAUUUGGACUUUUGUAUAUCUCUCAGCUUAUAAAUUUACCCCAUGUGUAACCAUUGAGAGAAGUUCUACAAAGAAACAACAUUACAGUUACAACAUAUAUGAUAAAUGAAAAUAUGAUUUUAUAUAUUCAUAAUAUAAAUCUACAAGACAGCAACAUCAUGUAAACUAUAAGAACACACUGAUAUAAAUAGGAACAAACCAUUACAUAAAAAGGUAAUCUCACACUGACUAGAAAUGACACAUGGUUUUCAAUGUUGUAUAUAAAUGUAUGUUUAAUUCUAACUUUGUAGAUCAAAUAUGGUCUUCAAGGGUUGAUUGUGGUGGUAUGGGGUGAGUUAAAUGAAGGGUAAGGUAUGUCCUUAGGAAGGGAGGCAAAUGCUGGCUUUGGGAGGGGUGGGAACUCAGGCAGCUUAGGGAGUUCUGGUUUGGGCACAUUUGGUAAUUCUGGCAAUUUUGGAACUUCAGGUUUAGGAAAAUUUGGCAAUUCAGGAAAUUUAGGGAACUCAGGUUUUGGCAGUUCUGAAACUUCAGAUAGUUUAGGCACGUUUGACGAAUCUUUUGAGUGAUCAAGGUUAGGUACUUUUGGUAAUUCAGGCAAUUUCGGCUUUUCCAAGGGUGGAAGAUGAGGCAAUGGAGGUAACUCAACCUUUGGCAAUGGAGGAAACUCGAGGUUUGGCAAAGAAGGUAUUUCUGGUUUUGGAAGCUCUUCAGGUAAUGGAGUUUCCAAGAGAUACCUCGCAUCCACGGUCAUGAUCGAAAUAUCAAAAUUCAUCAACAUAAAAACACCAAGUAUCAAAGGAAAUACCAAA
Molecule: long non-coding RNA, 3185 nt
Filed under: Cucumis sativus (cucumber)
Lineage: Eukaryota; Viridiplantae; Streptophyta; Magnoliopsida; Cucurbitales; Cucurbitaceae
Description: long non-coding RNA (CSAT_LNC002657)
Source: RNAcentral